GAUGAACGCUGGCGGCGUGCCUAAUACAUGCCAGUCGAGCGAACAGACGAGGAGCUUGCUCCUCUGACGUUAGCGGCGGACGGGUGAGUAACACGUGGAUAACCUACCUAUAAGACUGGGAUAACUUCGGGAAACCGGAGCUAAUACCGGAUAAUAUAUUGAACCGCAUGGCUCAAUAGUGAAAGACGGUUUUGCUGUCACUUAUAGAUGGAUCCGCGCCGCAUUAGCUAGUUGGUAAGGUAACGGCUUACCAAGGCGACGAUGCGUAGCCGACCUGAGAGGGUGAUCGGCCACACUGGAACUGAGACACGGUCCAGACUCCUACGGGAGGCAGCAGUAGGGAAUCUUCCGCAAUGGGCGAAAGCCUGACGGAGCAACGCCGCGUGAGUGAUGAAGGUCUUCGGAUCGUAAAACUCUGUUAUUAGGGAAGAACAAAUGUGUAAGUAACUAUGCACGUCUUGACGGUACCUAAUCAGAAAGCCACGGCUAACUACGUG
Molecule: ribosomal RNA, 497 nt
Filed under: uncultured bacterium
Lineage: Bacteria
Description: partial 16S ribosomal RNA
Rfam family: Bacterial small subunit ribosomal RNA
Source: RNAcentral